RNAcentral lists this ribosomal RNA (253 nucleotides) under uncultured prokaryote. RNAcentral's name for it is "partial 16S ribosomal RNA". It matches the Rfam family "Bacterial small subunit ribosomal RNA", at positions 525 to 777 of the family's 1533-position model. The record is from RNAcentral.
ACGUAGGGUGCAAGCGUUAAUCGGAAUUACUGGGCGUAAAGCGUGCGCAGGCGGUUUUGUAAGUCAGAUGUGAAAUCCCCGGGCUUAACCUGGGAACUGCAUUUGUGACUGCAUGGCUGGAGUGCGGCAGAGGGGGAUGGAAUUCCGCGUGUAGCAGUGAAGUGCGUAGAUAUGCGGAGGAACACCGAUGGCGAAGGCAAUCCCCAGGGCCUGCACUGACGCUCAUGCACGAAAGCGUGGGGAGCAAACAGUA